RNAcentral lists this ribosomal RNA (1262 nucleotides) under Helicoma brunneisporum. RNAcentral's name for it is "LSU rRNA". It matches the Rfam family "Eukaryotic large subunit ribosomal RNA", at positions 76 to 1432 of the family's 3401-position model. Lineage: Eukaryota; Fungi; Ascomycota; Dothideomycetes; Tubeufiales; Tubeufiaceae. The record is from RNAcentral.
UGCCUUAGUAACGGCGAGUGAAGCGGCAAUAGCUCAAAUUUGAAAUCUGGCUCUUUUAGAGUCCGAGUUGUAAUUUGUAGAAGAUGCUUCGGCUUACGUAUCGGUCUAAGUUCCUUGGAACAGGACGUCACAGAGGGUGAGAAUCCCGUUUGUGGCCGGUACUUCCGCUAUGUGAAGCUCCUUCGACGAGUCGAGUUGUUUGGGAAUGCAGCUCUAAAUGGGAGGUAAAUUUCUUCUAAAGCUAAAUAUUGGCCAGAGACCGAUAGCGCACAAGUAGAGUGAUCGAAAGAUGAAAAGCACUUUGGAAAGAGAGUUAAAAAGUACGUGAAAUUGUUGAAAGGGAAGCGCUUGCGACCAGACUUGUCUUUAGUUGCUCCGCUGGUCCUUCGACCAGUGUAUUCUUCUAUUGUCAGGCCAGCAUCAGUUUGGGUGGUUGGAUAAAGUCAUGAGGAAUGUGACUCUCUUCGGGGAGUGUUAUAGCCUUGUGUGCAAUACAGCCUACCUAGACUGAGGACCGCGCUUCGGCUAGGAUGCUGGCGUAAUGGUCGUAAGCGGCCCGUCUUGAAACACGGACCAAGGAGUCUAACAUCUAUGCGAGUGUUUGGGUGUCAAACCCGUGCGCGAAAUGAAAGUGAACGGAGGUGGGAACCUUUGGGUGCACCAUCGACCGAUCCUGAUGUCUUCGGAUGGAUUUGAGUAAGAGCAUAGCUGUUGGGACCCGAAAGAUGGUGAACUAUGCCUGAAUAGGGUGAAGCCAGAGGAAACUCUGGUGGAGGCUCGCAGCGGUUCUGACGUGCAAAUCGAUCGUCAAAUUUGGGUAUAGGGGCGAAAGACUAAUCGAACCAUUAAAAAAACUUAGUUACUAGGUGGUUAAGAGGCGGCUAAAAGUGACCGUCUAGUCCCUUCAUUCGGGGCAACACCGUCAAAUUGCGGGGACUUCCUUAGAGCUUGAACUACCGCGACUACAUUGAAAAAUGUUGGUGCAGCACCGGGUUAAUUACCUAGGGGAUGGUAAAAAUGUUCAAGAUUGGUUAAUCCGCAGCCAAGUCCUAAGUCAAUUUUUUAAAUAAAAUUGAUAUGGAUGCAGUUCACAGACUAGAUGUCGGUGGGUGUAAUCAUUUUUUUGGUUAUGCUUAAGGUAUAGUCGGUUCCCUAUGGAAACAUAGGCAGUAAGUCAAAGCUUUUAGGCAGGAUGACCCCCCUAAGUUAACUUAAGAGGUGUGCCUAAUAGCCCGAAAUUUACUGGGGUGUCUUUUUUUUUU